This is a long non-coding RNA of Neopsephotus bourkii (Bourke's parrot), 1141 nucleotides long. RefSeq lists it as uncharacterized. The transcript is spliced from 4 exons. The record is from RefSeq and is a predicted model, not a curated record. NCBI's taxonomy places the organism in Eukaryota, Metazoa, Chordata, Aves, Psittaciformes, Psittacidae.
GCUACUGUGAGGCGAAAAUGUCUCAAAUUCUUAUUCCUGUUAUUUCAUUGUAAUUCUUAUCACAAACUGAUCUUUUCUCCCAGCAGAAAUAAUUGAUUCUGGCCUAUAACAAGUCCUCAUCUUGAUUUCAUUGGCUUGUAUCUCGGACAGCACAAGAGACAUUCUGUAAUGGUUCAAAAAACAUCCCUACUGGAUAAUUGAUAAAUUAUUCAAGGGAGCAGAAAGUGACUCAUUUUGUACACUGCCUAUCAAAGAGAGCAGAGGAAGGAGAGUACAAGCAAGUGCCCAGCAUUGCCACUGGAUGAAGGAUUUGCAAGACUAAAUCCUAACACAUGUGAAUAGCGUCACCAAAGUCAGCUCUCUGGCUCUUAUUCCUGGAUAGGAUCCUAGAUAACUUCAUUCUUUCAGUGACUACUGCUAGACAGAUGCAUCCUGUUGUGAUAAAGCAGACCAGCUGCAUUUAGGACUAUGGCUUCAUAUUUGCAGUAUGACUGACCAUAUGUGAUUCUCUGUCAGGUUUGCAGCUUUAAUGGGAAAUCUCUGAAGUACUUGCACUUUGAUUCAUCUUUUUCAUUGGCUUGGUAACAAAAGAGGGUAUGGCUUUAUGCAGCUGGCUUGCACUGACAUAUGUUGCAGUAUGGUCUCUGCAGAGGAAAGGGAAGCUCUUGCAUACUUACCCUUAAGAGUUGCUUUGGGCUUGCUGUUGGGGUUUUGGGGUUGGUUUGGGUUUAUUUGUUUGUUUUAGGAAAAAAUAGCUGGAACCAGAAACUACAUUUAAUUAGGGAUAUAAUUUUGAAUUCUUAUGCUGAUCAUGGUUUUUAUCUGGCUUUAACAGAACUUAAUAAUUCUGUUAAUUAUUAUUGUCUUCCUUCCUGCUUUGGGAAAUGGGUGUCUGUGUAGGUCAGGGAACAGAAGGGAAAAUACUUGUGAAAGAAACGUAACAAACAGCAGAUAGAAUCUGGAGGAUCUGAGGUCUAUUUUUUUUCCUAAGAAGGAGCACUAUCAGACCCCAGUAGAGUUUUCUGGUAUUUCUGAUCUCAGUGUAAUUUGAAAGUGUAUAAAGGAUGUGUUUUCCAUCAUUUUAACCAUGUAAGGCUCAAACAUGUCUAAUUCCCUUUGCUAAAAAGAUUGUAUUUGUGUA